GUCAAAGUGACACUCAGUUUAUCCAACAAGUCCUCUGUCUGUAGAGCUGAUGCCUGGAAACCUUCAGCGGCAUAACUGUCAAUCCACUUCUCGUAUGGAUGAUUUUUCUCUCCCUCAAGACACACUUGCAGCUCCUUACCAAUGUAGGCAUAAAGUCUCAUGCAAGGUGUCAUAGCACCUAGAGUAUAAGCAGCCAACUUUGUUUUCUCAAAUG
RNAcentral lists this unclassified non-coding RNA (214 nucleotides) under Hevea brasiliensis (rubber tree). Lineage: Eukaryota; Viridiplantae; Streptophyta; Magnoliopsida; Malpighiales; Euphorbiaceae. The record is from RNAcentral.